RNAcentral lists this ribosomal RNA (301 nucleotides) under uncultured Cercozoa. RNAcentral describes it as "bacterial SSU rRNA". The stretch from base 94 to 301 matches the Rfam family "Eukaryotic small subunit ribosomal RNA", at positions 735 to 955 of the family's 1831-position model. Lineage: Eukaryota; Cercozoa. The record is from RNAcentral.
GACUUCUGGUGUAAUGUGCCUGGCCCGCGGCUCUUUAGGCCUGUGAGUGCCGGUGCGCGUUUAGGGAACGGGUCUACCCUUUACUGGGCCGGAUUCGGGAUCCAGAUCAUUUACUUUGAAAUUAGAGUGUUUAAAGCAAGCAAUUGCCAUGAAUACAUGAAUAAUAAUCUAGGACUUCGGUUCUAUUUUGUUGGUUUCGAAAACUGAAGUAAUGAUUGAUAGGGAUAGUGGGGGUGCUAGUAUUGGCCGGUCAGAGGUGAAAUUCUUGGAUUCGGUCAAGACUAACUUAUGCGAAAGCAUU